GGCCUCUUAGAGACCAAGGCCAGGCCUGGAGGUACAUUGUCAGAGCUGCCGUAAGUUAGGCAGUCUUGAUUUCCUGACUCUAAUUUAC
Non-coding RNA from Sorex fumeus (smoky shrew), 88 nucleotides. The record is from RefSeq and is a predicted model, not a curated record. NCBI's taxonomy places the organism in Eukaryota, Metazoa, Chordata, Mammalia, Eulipotyphla, Soricidae.